UGCCAGACUCCUACGGGAGGCAGCAGUGGGGAAUAUUGCACAAUGGGGGAAACCCUGAUGCAGCGACGCCGCGUGAGCGAUGAAGUAUUUCGGUAUGUAAAGCUCUAUCAGCAGGGAAGAAAAUGACGGUACCUGACUAAGAAGCCCCGGCUAACUACGUGCCAGCAGCCGCGGUAAUACGUAGGGGGCAAGCGUUAUCCGGAUUUACUGGGUGUAAAGGGAGCGUAGACGGCUGUGCAAGCCAGAUGUGAAAGCCCGGGGCUCAACCCCGGGACUGCAUUUGGAACUGUGUGGCUGGAGUGUCGGAGAGGCAGGCGGAAUUCCUAGUGUAGCGGUGAAAUGCGUAGAUAUUAGGAGGAACACCAGUGGCGAAGGCGGCCUGCUGGACGAUGACUGACGUUGAGGCUCGAAAGCGUGGGGAGCAAACAGGAUUAGAUACCCCUGUA
RNAcentral lists this ribosomal RNA (446 nucleotides) under uncultured bacterium. Its description in RNAcentral is "bacterial SSU rRNA". It matches the Rfam family "Bacterial small subunit ribosomal RNA", at positions 329 to 792 of the family's 1533-position model. The record is from RNAcentral.